GAUGAACGCUAGCGGCAGGCUUAACACAUGCAAGUCGAGGGGCAGCAUAAUGUAUAGCAAUAUAUAUGAUGGCGACCGGCGGACGGGUGCGUAACGCGUAUGCAACCUUCCCUGAACAGGGGGAUAAUCUGGAGAAAUCCGGUCUAAUACCCCAUAACAUUAGUAACGGCAUCGUUAUUAGUUGAAAUUUUCGGAGGGUCAGGAUGGCAUGCGUAGCAUUAGCUUGUUGGUGAGGUAAUGGCUCACCAAGGCGACGAUGCUUAGGGGGACUGAGAGGUUAACCCCCCACACUGGGACUGAGACACGGCCCAGACUCCUACGGGAGGCAGCAGUGAGGAAUAUUGGUCAAUGGGCGGAAGCCUGAACCAGCCAUGCCGCGUGCAGGAUGACGGCUCUAUGAGUUGUAAACUGCUUUUGUACGAGGGUAAAGUGAGGCACGUGUGCCUUUUUGAAAGUAUCGUACGGAUAAGGAUCGGCUAACUCCGUGCCAGCAGCCGCCGCGG
RNAcentral lists this ribosomal RNA (503 nucleotides) under uncultured bacterium. Its description in RNAcentral is "partial 16S ribosomal RNA". It matches the Rfam family "Bacterial small subunit ribosomal RNA", at positions 28 to 523 of the family's 1533-position model. The record is from RNAcentral.